CAGCAGCCGCGGUAAUACGUAGGGUGCAAGCGUUAAUCGGAAUUACUGGGCGUAAAGCGUGCGCAGGCGGUUCGCUAAGACAGAUGUGAAAUCCCCGGGCUUAACCUGGGAACUGCAUUUGUGACUGGCGGGCUAGAGUAUGGCAGAGGGGGGUAGAAUUCCACGUGUAGCAGUGAAAUGCGUAGAGAUGUGGAGGAAUACCGAUGGCGAAGGCAGCCCCCUGGGCCAAUACUGACGCUCAUGCACGAAAGCGUGGGGAGCAAACAGGAUUAGAUACCCGCGUAGUCCCUGUCUCUUAUAC
Molecule: ribosomal RNA, 301 nt
Filed under: uncultured bacterium
Lineage: Bacteria
Description: partial 16S ribosomal RNA
Rfam family: Bacterial small subunit ribosomal RNA
Source: RNAcentral